This 21-nucleotide unclassified non-coding RNA is filed under the name Mus musculus (house mouse). RNAcentral's name for it is "oocyte_clustered_small_RNA7874". Lineage: Eukaryota; Metazoa; Chordata; Mammalia; Rodentia; Muridae. The record is from RNAcentral.
UACAAGCAUCAUUGCUACAGC